This 444-nucleotide ribosomal RNA is filed under the name uncultured bacterium. RNAcentral's name for it is "partial 16S ribosomal RNA". It matches the Rfam family "Bacterial small subunit ribosomal RNA", at positions 338 to 795 of the family's 1533-position model. The record is from RNAcentral.
CCUACGGGGGGCAGCAGUGGGGAAUAUUGGGCAAUGGAGGCAACUCUUACCCAGCAAUGCCGCGUGAAUGAAGAAGGUCUUCGGAUUGUAACGUUCUUUAAUUGGGGACGAAAAAAAUGACGGUACCCAAGGAAUAAGCCCCGGCUAACUACGUGCCAGCAGCCGCGGUAAUACGUAGGGGGCAAGCGUUGUUCGGAAUGACUGGGCGUAAAGGGUGUGUAGGCGGUGUAGCAAGUUAGAAGUGAAAUACCUAGAGCUUAACUCAGGUGCUGCUUCUAAAACUGCUAUACUUGAGUGCAGUAGAGGAAAGUGGAAUUCCUAGUGUAGCGGUGAAAUGCGUAGAUAUCAGGAGGAACACCGGCGGCGAAGGCGGCCUGCUGGACCGCGACUGACGUUGAGGCUCGAAAGCGUGGGGAGCGAACAGGAUUAGAUACCCGGGUAGUC